This 468-nucleotide ribosomal RNA is filed under the name uncultured bacterium. RNAcentral describes it as "partial 16S ribosomal RNA". It matches the Rfam family "Bacterial small subunit ribosomal RNA", at positions 28 to 507 of the family's 1533-position model. The record is from RNAcentral.
GACGAACGCUGGCGGCGUGCUUAACACAUGCAAGUCGAACGGAAAGGCCCUGCUUUUGUGGGGUGCUCGAGUGGCGAACGGGUGAGUAACACGUGAGUAACCUGCCCUUGACUUUGGGAUAACUUCAGGAAACUGGGGCUAAUACCGGAUAGGAGCUCCUGCUGCAUGGUGGGGGUUGGAAAGUUUCGGCGGUUGGGGAUGGACUCGCGGCUUAUCAGCUUGUUGGUGGGGUAGUGGCUUACCAAGGCUUUGACGGGUAGCCGGCCGGAGAGGGUGACCGGCCACAUUGGGACUGGGCUACGGCCCAGACUCCUACGGGAGGCAGCAGUGGGGAAUAUUGCACAAUGGGCGGAAGCCUGAUGCAGCAACGCCGCGUGCGGGAUGACGACCUUCGGGUUGUAAACCGCUUUCGCCUGUGAAGAAGCGUGCGUGACGGUAAUGGGUAAAGAAGCACCGGCUAGCUACGUG